UUGCUUAAUCGAAGUUAUAACUAGCCCUAAAAUUGUCAGAAACACAAGGGAUUUCAAUCCAAUCAACACAUAAAACAUGUAUAUUCGAAACUGUGGAUAAUCAUUAGGAAAAUCGUAAUAACCAAUUCCUUGCUUUGAGAGCCUUAAGAGUCUGAGUUUGAAGAGAACAUGAAAUUUGAAGGAAAGGGAUAGCUUACAGUACUCUCUCUCGGUGAAGGUUCCUGGUGAUGGUGGGAAGUUCCGAAGCUGACAGCGAAUCACAAUUCCUCCGCCCAGCUUUUGCCUCUUUUCCUUGCUUUUUCCAGAUUCUCUACCACCCCUUUUCUUGUUUCCUUCAACCUCUACCCUUUCUCCUCUCGGUUUUCCUUUUCCCUUUUCCUUCUUGCCCAAAAGCUCUUCCCCACCUCGGCUCUCUCUUUUUCCUUGCUUUCUUUUUCUCCCUCAGCCCUUC
Molecule: long non-coding RNA, 451 nt
Filed under: Coffea arabica (coffee)
Lineage: Eukaryota; Viridiplantae; Streptophyta; Magnoliopsida; Gentianales; Rubiaceae
Description: long non-coding RNA (CARA_LNC003729)
Source: RNAcentral